AUUAUAAUAAUGCGCAUCACCGGCCCGCUCUCUANNNNNUUAGCGGAGUUUGAGCGUAUACGCUGAGACCCGAAAGAUGGUGAACUAUGCCUGGUCAGGACGAAGCCAGGGGAAACCCUGGUGGAGGUCCGUAGCGAUUCUGACGUGCAAAUCGAUCGUCUGAACUGGGUAUAGGGGCGAAAGACUAAUCGAACCAUCUAAUAGCUGGUUCCCUCCGAAGUUUCCCUCAGGAUAGCUGGCGCAUAUAUUUACACAGUCUCUCCCGGUAAAGCUAAUGAUUAGAGGUCUUGGGAACGAAACGUUCUCAACCUAUUCUCAAACUUUAAAUGGGUGAGAUGUAUGACUUACUUAAAAUUAUUUAUAAUUUUUUUUAAUGAAGUUCGUACAUUUGGAUGUUUGUGUGCCAAGU
This 409-nucleotide ribosomal RNA is filed under the name Archechiniscus sp. SF-2015b. Its description in RNAcentral is "eukaryotic LSU rRNA". It matches the Rfam family "Eukaryotic large subunit ribosomal RNA", at positions 743 to 1127 of the family's 3401-position model. Lineage: Eukaryota; Metazoa; Tardigrada; Heterotardigrada; Arthrotardigrada; Halechiniscidae. The record is from RNAcentral.